UACGUAGGGGGCAAGCGUUAUCCGGAUUUACUGGGUGUAAAGGGAGCGUAGGCGGCUUAGUAAGUCAGAAGUGAAAGCCCGCAGCUCAACUGCGGGACUGCCUUUGAAACUGCCAGGCUAGAGUGUCGGAGAGGUAAGUGGAAUUCCUAGUGUAGCGGUGAAAUGCGUAGAUAUUAGGAGGAACACCAGUGGCGAAGGCGACUUUCUGGACAGUAACUGACGUUGAGGCACGAAAGCGUGGGUAUCGAACAGG
RNAcentral lists this ribosomal RNA (253 nucleotides) under uncultured Eubacteriales bacterium. Its description in RNAcentral is "uncultured Clostridiales bacterium partial 16S ribosomal RNA". It matches the Rfam family "Bacterial small subunit ribosomal RNA", at positions 524 to 776 of the family's 1533-position model. The record is from RNAcentral. Lineage: Bacteria; Bacillati; Bacillota; Clostridia; Eubacteriales.